RNAcentral lists this ribosomal RNA (253 nucleotides) under uncultured bacterium. Its description in RNAcentral is "partial 16S ribosomal RNA". It matches the Rfam family "Bacterial small subunit ribosomal RNA", at positions 524 to 776 of the family's 1533-position model. The record is from RNAcentral.
UACGUAGGCAGCGAGCGUUGUUCGGAAUUACUGGGCGUAAAGAGUGUGUAGGCGGUGCUCUAAGUUCGGUGUGAAAGCCCCGGGCUUAACCUGGGAAUGGCAUUGGAAACUGGCUCGCUGGAGUGUGGCAGAGGGGGGUGGAAUUCCGCGUGUAGCAGUGAAAUGCGUAGAGAUGCGGAGGAACACCGAUGGCGAAGGCAGCCCCCUGGGCUAACACUGACGCUCAGGCACGAAAGCGUGGGGAGCAAACAGG